Molecule: small RNA, 312 nt
Filed under: Arabidopsis thaliana (thale cress)
Lineage: Eukaryota; Viridiplantae; Streptophyta; Magnoliopsida; Brassicales; Brassicaceae
Description: ATSL101010
Source: RNAcentral
AAUUUUAUUAAAUUGAUUUAGAUGUGUUGGUUAGACUUAAAUUGACAUUGGUUUAGAGAUUUUAGUUGGUUUAAUUCAAUUUUACAAAACUUGAUGGGUUAAUUGGGUAAACCAUUGAAACCAUUAACCAUUACAACUCAACUCAUUUUACUCAUCAAACCAAUUGACUCAUCAACUCAUUUGACCCAUCAACUCAUUUGAGUCAAAAAUUUCAACUCAUUAGGGUCCAUGGAUUGAGUUGAGUUGAGUUUGACCCAUGAAUUUUGACCCAUUUUGACACCCCUACUGAUACCUAAUAACAUCUUUAUUUGA